This 176-nucleotide unclassified non-coding RNA is filed under the name uncultured Rozellomycota. RNAcentral's name for it is "uncultured Cryptomycota sequence contains ITS2". Lineage: Eukaryota; Fungi; Rozellomycota. The record is from RNAcentral.
ACCUUUUUAUUCCAAGUUUGGGAUAGACUUGAAGGCUUUAGAUUACUCUAAUCCUUUGAAAUAAAGUUUGUUGGUGAUUGAUUUGGUCACUACCAUGUGCUAAAGACUAUAUGUCUUGUCAUGUUAAUGAUCAUAGUCAACCCAUUGUCAAACUAAUCAUUUGACAAAAUUACCUU